This 207-nucleotide long non-coding RNA is filed under the name Gossypium barbadense (sea-island cotton). Its description in RNAcentral is "long non-coding RNA (GBAR_LNC013485)". The record is from RNAcentral. Lineage: Eukaryota; Viridiplantae; Streptophyta; Magnoliopsida; Malvales; Malvaceae.
UGAUGAGCGAUGUUUAUAAAAGAACCCAACAAUCAAACAAGAUGGCUACGAAAGGCAAAACAACAGAACCAAAAACAGAGGAAGAAAGGUAUAACGAAUGAAAAACAAAGAAACAAAACCAGUUUUUUUUCAAUCUAAAUUUUCGGAUAUUGAACUUGUGGGAUCUCUUUUUCUUUUCUUUUUUUCUCCAGCUUGUUUUUGGUUCCU